UACGAGGGAUGCAAGCGUUAUCCGGAAUUAUUGGGCGUAAAGCGUUUGUAGGCGGGCGAGUGUGUUUAAUGUUAAAUCUUAAAGCUCAACUUUGAAAUUGCGUUAAAAACUGCUUGUCUUGAGUAUGGUAGGGGUAAAGGGAAUUCCCAGUGUAGCGGUGAAAUGCGUAGAUAUUGGGAAGAACACUAAACAGCGAAGGCACUUUACUAGGCUAAUACUGACGCUGAGAAACGAAAGGUAAGGUAGCGAAACGGAUUAGAUACCCGUGUAGUCUUACCCGUAAACUAUGGACACUAAACGGUAAAUUUUUAAUUUACUGUUAAAGCUAACGCGUUAAGUGUCCCGCCUGGGGAGUAUGCUUGCAAAAGUGAAACUCAAAGGAAUUGACGGGGGCCCGCACAAGCGGUGGAGCAUGUGGUUUAAUUCGACGGUACACGAAGAACCUUACCAGGAUUUGACAUGCUAGAUAGUUGCUUGAAAGAGUAACGUGCCGUAAGGAAUCUAGACACAGGUGGUGCAUGGCUGUCGUCAGUUCGUGUUGUGAAAUGUUGGGUUAAGUCCCGCAACGAACGCAACCCUUGUCUUUAGUUAUUUUCUAAAGAGACUGCCUGUAAUAAACAGGAGGAAGGUAAGGAUGAGGUCAAGUCAUCAUGCCCCUUAUGUCCUGGGCUACACACGUGCUGCAAUGGGAAAGACAAUGAGCUGCAAAUCUGUAAAUUUAAGCAAAUCUCUUAAACUUUCUCGUAGUUCGGAUUGUGGGCUGCAACUCGCCCACAUGAAGUUGGAAUCGCUAGUAAUCGCCAGUCAGCUAUAUGGCGGUGAAUCCGUUCCCGGGCCU
RNAcentral lists this ribosomal RNA (838 nucleotides) under uncultured bacterium. Its description in RNAcentral is "bacterial SSU rRNA". It matches the Rfam family "Bacterial small subunit ribosomal RNA", at positions 524 to 1381 of the family's 1533-position model. The record is from RNAcentral.